RNAcentral lists this ribosomal RNA (2902 nucleotides) under Shigella flexneri K-227. RNAcentral's name for it is "23S ribosomal RNA". Lineage: Bacteria; Pseudomonadati; Pseudomonadota; Gammaproteobacteria; Enterobacterales; Enterobacteriaceae. The record is from RNAcentral.
AAGGUUAAGCCUCACGGUUCAUUAGUACCGGUUAGCUCAACGCAUCGCUGCGCUUACACACCCGGCCUAUCAACGUCGUCGUCUUCAACGUUCCUUCAGGACCCUUAAAGGGUCAGGGAGAACUCAUCUCGGGGCAAGUUUCGUGCUUAGAUGCUUUCAGCACUUAUCUCUUCCGCAUUUAGCUACCGGGCAGUGCCAUUGGCAUGACAACCCGAACACCAGUGAUGCGUCCACUCCGGUCCUCUCGUACUAGGAGCAGCCCCCCUCAGUUCUCCAGCGCCCACGGCAGAUAGGGACCGAACUGUCUCACGACGUUCUAAACCCAGCUCGCGUACCACUUUAAAUGGCGAACAGCCAUACCCUUGGGACCUACUUCAGCCCCAGGAUGUGAUGAGCCGACAUCGAGGUGCCAAACACCGCCGUCGAUAUGAACUCUUGGGCGGUAUCAGCCUGUUAUCCCCGGAGUACCUUUUAUCCGUUGAGCGAUGGCCCUUCCAUUCAGAACCACCGGAUCACUAUGACCUGCUUUCGCACCUGCUCGCGCCGUCACGCUCGCAGUCAAGCUGGCUUAUGCCAUUGCACUAACCUCCUGAUGUCCGACCAGGAUUAGCCAACCUUCGUGCUCCUCCGUUACUCUUUAGGAGGAGACCGCCCCAGUCAAACUACCCACCAGACACUGUCCGCAACCCGGAUCACGGGUCCACGUUAGAACAUCAAACAUUAAAGGGUGGUAUUUCAAGGUCGGCUCCAUGCAGACUGGCGUCCACACUUCAAAGCCUCCCACCUAUCCUACACAUCAAGGCUCAAUGUUCAGUGUCAAGCUAUAGUAAAGGUUCACGGGGUCUUUCCGUCUUGCCGCGGGUACACUGCAUCUUCACAGCGAGUUCAAUUUCACUGAGUCUCGGGUGGAGACAGCCUGGCCAUCAUUACGCCAUUCGUGCAGGUCGGAACUUACCCGACAAGGAAUUUCGCUACCUUAGGACCGUUAUAGUUACGGCCGCCGUUUACCGGGGCUUCGAUCAAGAGCUUCGCUUGCGCUAACCCCAUCAAUUAACCUUCCGGCACCGGGCAGGCGUCACACCGUAUACGUCCACUUUCGUGUUUGCACAGUGCUGUGUUUUUAAUAAACAGUUGCAGCCAGCUGGUAUCUUCGACUGAUUUCAGCUCCACGAGCAAGUCGCUUCACCUACGUAUCAGCGUGCCUUCUCCCGAAGUUACGGCACCAUUUUGCCUAGUUCCUUCACCCGAGUUCUCUCAAGCGCCUUGGUAUUCUCUACCUGACCACCUGUGUCGGUUUGGGGUACGAUUUGAUGUUACCUGAUGCUUAGAGGCUUUUCCUGGAAGCAGGGCAUUUGUUGCUUCAGCACCGUAGUGCCUCGUCAUCACGCCUCGGCCUUGAUUUUCCGGAUUUGCCUGGAAAACCAGCCUACACGCUUAAACCGGGACAACCGUCGCCCGGCCAACAUAGCCUUCUCCGUCCCCCCUUCGCAGUAACACCAAGUACAGGAAUAUUAACCUGUUUCCCAUCGACUACGCCUUUCGGCCUUGCCUUAGGGGUCGACUCACCCUGCCCCGAUUAACGUUGGACAGGAACCCUUGGUCUUCCGGCGAGCGGGCUUUUCACCCACUUUAUCGUUACUUAUGUCAGCAUUCGCACUUCUGAUACCUCCAGCAUACCUCACAGUACACCUUCACAGGCUUACAGAACGCUCCCCUACCCAACAACGCAUAAGCGUCGCUGCCGCAGCUUCGGUGCAUGGUUUAGCCCCGUUACAUCUUCCGCGCAGGCCGACUCGACCAGUGAGCUAUUACGCUUUCUUUAAAUGAUGGCUGCUUCUAAGCCAACAUCCUGGCUGUCUGGGCCUUCCCACAUCGUUUCCCACUUAACCAUGACUUUGGGACCUUAGCUGGCGGUCUGGGUUGUUUCCCUCUUCACGACGGACGUUAGUACCCGCCGUGUGUCUCCCGUGAUAACAUUCUCCGGUAUUCGCAGUUUGCAUCGGGUUGGUAAGUCGGGAUGACCCCCUUGCCGAAACAGUGCUCUACCCCCGGAGAUGAAUUCACGAGGCGCUACCUAAAUAGCUUUCGGGGAGAACCAGCUAUCUCCCGGUUUGAUUGGCCUUUCACCCCCAGCCACAAGUCAUCCGCUAAUUUUUCAACAUUAGUCGGUUCGGUCCUCCAGUUAGUGUUACCCAACCUUCAACCUGCCCAUGGCUAGAUCACCGGGUUUCGGGUCUAUACCCUGCAACUUAACGCCCAGUUAAGACUCGGUUUCCCUUCGGCUCCCCUAUUCGGUUAACCUUGCUACAGAAUAUAAGUCGCUGACCCAUUAUACAAAAGGUACGCAGUCACACGCCUAAGCGUGCUCCCACUGCUUGUACGUACACGGUUUCAGGUUCUUUUUCACUCCCCUCGCCGGGGUUCUUUUCGCCUUUCCCUCACGGUACUGGUUCACUAUCGGUCAGUCAGGAGUAUUUAGCCUUGGAGGAUGGUCCCCCCAUAUUCAGACAGGAUACCACGUGUCCCGCCCUACUCAUCGAGCUCACAGCAUGUGCAUUUUUGUGUACGGGGCUGUCACCCUGUAUCGCGCGCCUUUCCAGACGCUUCCACUAACACACACACUGAUUCAGGCUCUGGGCUGCUCCCCGUUCGCUCGCCGCUACUGGGGGAAUCUCGGUUGAUUUCUUUUCCUCGGGGUACUUAGAUGUUUCAGUUCCCCCGGUUCGCCUCAUUAACCUAUGGAUUCAGUUAAUGAUAGUGUGACGAAUCACACUGGGUUUCCCCAUUCGGAAAUCGCCGGUUAUAACGGUUCAUAUCACCUUACCGACGCUUAUCGCAGAUUAGCACGUCCUUCAUCGCCUCUGACUGCCAGGGCAUCCACCGUGUACGCUUAGUCGCUUAA